Aegilops tauschii subsp. strangulata is the source of this 2199-nucleotide non-coding RNA. The record is from RefSeq and is a predicted model, not a curated record. NCBI's taxonomy places the organism in Eukaryota, Viridiplantae, Streptophyta, Magnoliopsida, Poales, Poaceae.
CCCUGACGCCCAGAUCACGAUCGCCGCGCACUCCCAACCACGAACGCCGACGCCGGCUGUAGCCGUCACGCCGCCAGCCAUCCAUGCCUCGCAGCCGUCACAGCCGGUGCUUCCCCACUGAACGAGCGCCAAGGAGAAACACCGAUGUCUUUCUACAUGGUGGCCGCUCCCCUCGAUCCCCUCCAUCGCCUCCGCCGCCGCCGAGGUACGAGAUCGCCUCCAUCUUGUUCCUUCCCUGGCCAUGCCCCUCCCAAUUUCUUCCCCUCAUCCAGCUAGGGUUCUCACCCGCCGCCGCUUCCCUGCUGCUACCCGCCACCGGAUGCCCUCCACGGACACCACCACCAUGAUGGCAGAAGGAAGAGCAAGAGGGGUCGUCGAGGAUGGGUGCCGUCAUGAGGAUGCUGGCGCCCGUGUGCGGUGAUGGCAUUGUGGCGGAAGAAGGUCUUCUUCCUGGGGAGCCGCUACCAGCCUCCGUCUCCACUCGCGGCCACGCUAACAAGACAGAUCUCAAUGCUUGCUUGCUAAUGUGCGUGUGUGGAUGUUGCUGGUUGCUGCUGCUGUGCACGUCUGCUUGGUGUGCCCCUGCUGUUUUGUGUUCUCACCACCACAUCCACGACAAAUAAAAUUUCUUAGUUUUCUUAGAAUGGUUCAGGUUCGAUAUGUCAGGGCUGAAGUACGCUCCUGAGUUAAAGAAAGACCUCGAGAGACUCUGUAGAGUAUUUGUGAUGUAUCCUUCACUUACCGUGCCACGGGGUUGUCGCGGAUAUUGGUGGAGGACUUGGUGGACUAGCGCAAAAUGGAAAUCUAGAAAGAAGUGAAACUAAUCAGCUAUGAUUUUCCUGGAGUAUUUGUGCAACCAGCAGGUCGCCCAUGAGAAAUAUGAUGUCCUUUAUGCAUUUAAAAAACUACUAAAGGGAAAGUUGUGAAUCUUGUAUUGCAGAGCGUAUGCGUCAGAGGCCAGUCGGCAGAGGUGCAUGCAGGUUUGUGCUUGAGGGUGCACGCGAGUCGGCGGCUACAGGCAGAGGGUGCGGCCUGUGUGUGCGUGUUGUGGACAGUGUUGUGGUCGCCUGAUUUGAUUGUAAAUCGUGUAGAGCAAAGGCGGCUUCUGUGGCGCUGGAGCAACAAUUUCAGUGAGCACAUUGACUUGAUGCAGGGAGGGUCGUCGAAGAGAAGGACGGCGGCCCGGCCUACACAUGAUGGAACACACAUUGCCGACGAUGCGGUACCAGGCCUGGAGAAGAGAUCCCGAGUUUCCAUUCUUCUGCAACGACAGGGAGUAUGCUAUCGGUCGCAGGGUCUAGGCAUCUGGAAAGACGUACUAUUGCGCUAAUAAGGUGUUUGAUGAAAUGCCCUCCGUCCGAAAAUACUUGUCAUCAAAAUGAAUAAAAGGAGAUCACAAUGUUGGACACGACCACCUAAGAAUUGAAUAUUUUUAGUUGGAAUACUAUUUUAAUGAUCAAUCACAAUGUUGGACGCGACCACCUACUUAUUCCCGAGACUUUAAGUCUUUGGUGGCUUAAGCACAAUAUGCCCGGCAUAUGUUCUACAUCUGCGGCAUGUAAUGACCCUACUGGCAUUUCAAGAGGAUUUACUAUAUUUUUGCAGCAGGCUACAUGCUUCUCUGAAUGACCAUUUAAGGAGUGAACAUGAACUGCUGAUGUAUAUGUUCCAUGCUCCAUGGGGAGGGAACAAGGAUUGAUUUUCGCCGGGAGUAGGAAGAGUAUGGUGACUUACUUCUAUGCUUUAAGGGGCUUCCAGAACUACUUGAUUGUGAAACAAGUCACUAGAAUUGCCUAACAGAAGCACAAACACAAAUGGACACUCUGCAGUUGUAUCAGACACACCACCACAAGACCUGAUGUGUGCGUCACAAUUCUUAGCAGCGACCGUUACGACCGUGCAAUGCCAAGAUUGCUAGCGACAAGGAUUUGAGGAGGACAAGACGGUAGCUAUCGACAAGGAUUCAAGAAGGACCAGAUGCCACGGUGGUGGUUGUAAUAUUAGUCGAGACGAAUCUGAAAAAAUUGAGUCGAGAUGUGGAGAUAUGAUGGAUUUUUAAAAAAAAAAUCCAGUAAAUUUUUGCUACAGAGAACAUAUCGGUGUGCAUGUACCGAUUGCACUUGCUUCAUGGCGCAAUACGUUUAUCCUGCUACAAAAAAUGUAUUAUUUUUUAUUGAAGAAGGGGGGUUUCAAGGCAGA